UCCUCAACUCUCCACAAACUACCCGAUCGCUCCUCCCACCAUCCCUUCCGAGAAAAAUCCCCCAUCACCGUCGCGCCAGCACCACCAGCACAGAACAACGCCUUGCUCCUCGCCCGCCCUCCGUGCUCUCCUCGCCGUCGCCGUCGUCGGCGGCCCACGCCCGUGAGGAGUUGGAAGCAGGUCCGGAGCAUCCGCGGUCCAGGAUGGCGGAGGACAUGGAGGCGCGGCGGGCGGCCUGCGAGCGCCGGCUCGACGCUUUCGGAGACCGAAAUCGCCGCCCUCCAGUCGUCCAUCCGCGCCUCCGCCCGCCAGGAGUUGGAAGUAGGUCCGGAGCAUCCGCGACCCAGUAUGGCGGAGGACAUGGAGGCGCAGCGGGCGGCGUUAGAGCGACGAUUAGCCGCCAGCCGAGACCGGUUCGCCUCCCUCAAGUCGUCCGUCACCCGCUCCGGCCCCCACCAGGUCCUCUGGCGUCGAGCUCGAUCCCCCGCCUUCCUGUCCUCUCCUACCCGUCCUCCGAUGAUAAAGGGAAGCAACACCACGCACCACAGAUCCAUGGUCCAUAUGGUCCAGGGAAGAAGAUGCGUGGGAGUAUGAAUGAUGGCUGGCGUUCUCCAUGACGAAUCAGGGUCGAGCACAGUGCGAGGGAGACACAGAGAUCGCAAAUAUCAGGGUCGAGCACAGUUCCACUUCGCCCUCUGGGAAUGGCCACAUCUAUCCCGCGAUUACUGUUGCGUGCCAUACUGUCAUUGCCCCAUCUGCCUCGAAGCCUUCAAAUACGAGGUAUUAUUUUCUUUGGACCAGAGAUUUCUUGUAACUAGAAAUUAACUGCUGUAGUUUUGUCCAAAAUCCAUUUUGUUACAUGGCCAUGACCCAGUGUGUAAAGAUCAAGAACAAAUAACUUUUGUGCUCUCUCUGUGAAGUAAUCUAUUGCAAUGUGAGCACUUAUUUUAUUGCUUCUCCAAUAGACAUACGGUUUGUGAAGCACUAUCUUAUACACAUUUGUCCGGUUCAACUUUUUGACCAUUUGUAAUGCGUGGUAAGAAAGAAAACUUGCCACUCUAUGUUUUAUACUUCUACCCCGUAGGAAAAAGACAUUCUAAGUUUGGGUAGUUUCACGUGAUGUCGAGAAGCAAACUUGGUUCACCACACCCCAAAAUAUUCAUCUUUCUACCAUUUUCUAUUGAUUAGUGCAAAGGACUAUUUUAGUGAAGUUGACCAGAUAUUAUUUAUACUUGAAAUAGAGUUAGUCCUGCUCCUGGACAUAUUCUAUCCUUGUAAUUCUCUCAGACUGUUGAGAGUGUAUCUAUGUUCAUGCUUUGGACUCUGAAUCAUUUCAGCGGUAGUAUAGAGCAUGAUGACUCAGGGAACAGGCCAGUAUCAAUUUCUUUGUGCAUGUCUGCAUUUGACAGUAGCCACUAGGCCACUAGCAUGUUUCACUAUGCUGAUUAAAACUAAAAUUGGUUCAAGUAUGAAUUAAUGUAGUUUUCUCAAUUUUAUUAUGUUGCAAGCAUCUUGUAGAUGCACAUGAGUUGAUACCACAGUUCGAUAAUCCAAGAGGCAUUGUAUUAAUUUGGAUUACUAUUUACUUCUCUAAUCAUAGUUAUAGAAUUAGUCCCAUGUAUCGAGAAGCCUUGUUUUUUCUAACAGUGAUGGCUACUGCAGAGAUUCAGAUGAUGCCUUUAGUCUGCUUCAAUACCGGAAGCAACAGAAGUAUCUUUGGAAGAAUAUUGUGUCAAUUUGGAUUACUAUUUACUUCUGUGAUAACAGUUUUAGAAUUAGUCCCAUGUAUUUAGAAGCCUUGUCUUUUUCUAACACUGGUGGUUACCGCAGAGAUUUCAGAUACAUUCAGUAUGCUUCAAUGCAGGAAGCAAUGGAAGUACCUUUGGAAGAAUAUUGUGUUAAUUUGGAUUACUAUUUACUUCUCUAAUCAUAGUUUUAGAAUUAGUCCCAUGUAUCGAGAAACCUUUUUUUCUAACACGGAUGGUUACUACAGAGAUUUUAGAUCGCAUGUUUGGUACGCUUCAAUACUGGAAGCAACGGAAGUAUCUUUGGAAGAAUUAUGUGGCUUGAAACUUGGAUGAAAUAGGAAAUUCAGGCCUUACAUAGGUGUUAACUAUCUAGGUCAAGCAAAACACCUAGCUGCACCCCACCUUGUUGUGACUGUAGAUAAAUUAGUGAAGAUGCUGCCAUCAUAGUGCCUUUUAGAUUGUAUAAGUGUGUUAAUCAUACAGAGUUUUUUCCGGUUCAUUCACUAGAUGACAUAUGUGUUGUAUAUCGAUACAAGAAAUAUAUUAUCAUAUUUGUUUUCGCCCUACAGUAAAAUUAUGUACUCCACUUCAUAUAUGAUAUCUUUUUUUGGAUGUUGAGGAUUCCAGCCACAAGGAUAGAUGAGCUAUACUACCUUUGAGUUCCUUCUAAAAGAAUGCAGGCCACACGAAAACGUAUCAUAAAACAACUAUCAAGCUGAAAUCUUCACAUUGGGAUACAUAAAAUAGGAUGUCUAUGAAUAACUAAAUGUGUUGUAUAGUUAGCAUAUUUCAAUGACUUCCAAAAUUUGUUUUUUUCUGAAAUUUACAGCCAUAUGAGCUCACACAUAAGAAAUCUGCAGCCAGACACAUGUCUGUUUACUACAAUUCUUUUUCUGUAAACACAUGUUUGUGUAGCACAAAUGCUUAACAAUAAGUGAGAUGUAUGCUCCAAAAAUGAGAUGUCGUCAUAUAUUUUCAAGUUAUUGGUGGAGUUUUCGUAACAUAUUAAAUGUUCCAGUAAAGUCUUAUUAUGAUUCUACGGCUACAAAUAAAGUAUAUUAGCCAUGUUUUGCAUCUUGCAUAUUGAUUUCUUUUCACAUCAUUGUAAGAUGCUCUACUAUACGUACUGUGAGCAGUCUGCUUUUAUUUUUACGCCUAAUGGGGUUGCGUAACUCAGUAAUGAAUUGGAAAGGAAGUGGCGCGCAGUGACAAUGUUUUGUAAAAUGAGGAACAACUAAUGACGCUAAUUAAAUGUUCCAAAAUUUGUUUUUUCUGAAAUUUACAGCCAUAUGAGCUCAUACAUGAUAAAUGUGCAGCCAGACACAUGUCUGCUUACUACAAUUCUUUUUCUGUAAUCAAAUGUUUGUGUUGCACAAAUUCUUAACAAUAAGUGAGAUGUAUGCUCCAAAAAUGAGAUGUUGUCAUAUAUUUUCAUGUUAUUGGUGGAAUUUUUGUAACAUAUUAAAUGUUCCAGUGAAGUCUUAUUAUGAUUCUACAACUACAAAUAAAGUAUAUUAGCCAUGUUUUGCAUCUUGCAUAUUGAUUUCUGUUCACACCAUUCUAAGAUGCUCUACUAUACAUAGUGUGAGCAGUCUGCUUUUAUUUGUAUGCCUAAUGGGAUUACGUAGCUCAGUAAAGAAUUGGGAAAGGGAGUGGCGCCCAAUGACGAUGUUUUUGUAAAAUGAGGAACAACUAACGAUGCUAAUUUUUUCUCCCGUUGCAAAGCACGGACAAGUUUGCUGAUAGAUAUGUGUGUAGGCAAUGGUGGGCAAUGGCGCCGAUGGUCAGGCAGAGGAAAACAAGGAAUGUGAAGACAUGCGGCGCAUCAGUGUGUCUCGGCGAUUCCGUAGGCAGUCGCCCUCCCCUGUCGCGGUCUCCUUGGGGUCCGGAAGCUUCUCAAGGGCAUCGUCCUUGGUGUUCCUCCUCGAGGCUUGAUGCUUUCUACAGGAAAAAAUGGUUCAUUUUCUGAGAGAAAGUAUUAUCUUUGCAAUGUGGUUGUCAAUGUAUAUCUUCUUUGUCCUCUGCCAGCCCCGUCCAAGAGCUCUCAUCAUCCGUCGGACAUGAUCUCCCACCCUCCACCAACCCCUGCCAUGAGCCAAUACCCUACGCCGGCCAUGUCUUGUCCUUCGGAGCACUCAAUGAUAACUUGGUGUUGAAGCUCAUGUGUUGGAUGAACCUAACAUGCCUUUUUUGCCUACAUUUUGCUAGGAGAUUAUCAUUUUAUCUCCAAAAAUUAUAGUUAUUCUGAAUAUUUAUGUAUGAAUAUGGAUUGGAUGAAACGGCCAUGGUUGAAUUCAUUUCUCAAACGGAAAUUGCAAGAAUAAUGUUUCUUA
Molecule: RNA transcript, 4081 nt
Organism: Hordeum vulgare subsp. vulgare (domesticated barley)
Lineage: Eukaryota; Viridiplantae; Streptophyta; Magnoliopsida; Poales; Poaceae
Exons: 4
Source: RefSeq, a predicted model, not a curated record